Molecule: non-coding RNA, 803 nt
Filed under: Platynereis bicanaliculata
Lineage: Eukaryota; Metazoa; Annelida; Polychaeta; Phyllodocida; Nereididae
Source: RNAcentral
UAAUAGUUUGAUCCUUGCUACUAGAUUGGCUUUAAUAAAACAUAAUACAUGCUAUUUUCUGAGAACCCGUGCAACCCCCCGCAUCUUAAAGUUUAUUCUUGUAAUGGAUAAGUUUCACUACUCACCAAUUUUCACGCCUGCAGUAAAGCAUCUUGUUACAAAUUAAACUAAUGUAACAGGUAUUAUUAAUUAGUGCUGACUAAAUUCGUGCCAGCCGUCGCGGUUAUACGAUAAGCACAAGUCAAUUAUACACCGGUAAAGUACUGAUAAAAAUUCUAUGUUAUAAUGGUAUAAUAUAUUCAACAUAAUUAACUUCAUAUAUAUCAUUCCUCAAAACGAAAGAUUAGACAAAAACAAGGAUUAGAUACCCUUCUAUUCUAUUCCGUAAAAUCUUCUCCGGACACUACAGACACACGUUUAAAAUCCAAAGGAAUUGGCGGCAUUUUAUGCUAUUAGGGGAAUCUGUCAAUUAACUCGUCAACCCACGUUAAACCUUUCUUGUUUUAGAUUUAUCAGCUUGUAUACUGCCGUCGUAAGCUAACAUUAUAUAAGAUUGUCAGCUCCGUAAAUUAACUUUAUUACGUCAGGUCAAUGUGCAGCCUAUAAACAAGCUUAGAUGGAUUACAUUAAAUAUAAAACAGGUUAACAACCCGAAACUAAUGUUAUAAUAUGGACUUAAUAGUAAAUAGUUAAUAUUAUGAACUAUUGAAUUAGCAAUCUAAAAUUGUGCACAAAUCGCCCGUCACUCCCACCGAAAGGAGGGAUAAGUCGUAACAUAGUAGGUGUAACUGAAGUUGUACCUU